UUAAAAUCAGCCGGAAUCAGGAAUUCAGGUUAAGGGAAAAAUCUUCAAUCUUUAUUGAAGUGAAGAGGUGAAAAAGGAUUGGGAUAGUAAUAUGGGCAAGAAGGAUUGUGAUAGCAUUAUGGGCAGCUGCGAUAAGAAGCCAGCUAGCAGAGGGGGAUUGGAGAUGAAAGGCUGUAGCAAUACCUCCUCAGGGAGGUCAGAGCCCCCAAGGGGAGGUGAUCACGACCCCCCUGACUUCUCAGGAAGGGAGGUGAAAGCACUAAAAAGGAGAUAAUCAUGUCCACUCUGACAUCUCAGGAAGGGAGAUGAAAAGCACCAAAGGGAAGUGAGGGUUGCUAGCAGGUUUCUGAGCUGAAGGGUCUUAUUAUGCACAAACCCAUCAGCAUGGGAAGUAUUACACAAGCACAUAGCAACAACACAGAGUCUAUUAGUGAUGACUCUCCCCACAGUCAGUGCAGGCUUGAUGUGGUGUAACAAACAUGAAUUGUACACUCAAAUAACGGUAUAACAAACAAUAUAAAUCAACAUGGUGUUGUAAAAGAUUGCCAGAAGUCCUAGAAGGAGAGUAUGUAAACAGCAGUCACACAUACGCCUUCUUCAGCAGCCAAGAGAUAGUCCAAAACCAAUCUAUUGUCCAUUGCUUCACAUGUCAGGGAAUCCAAUGAUCCCCCCAAGUUUUUGAAGUCCUGUAAAAGUUUUUUUAUGUGUUAGGGAAUCCAAUGAUUCCAGCAGAUUUUGAAGUCCUGUAAAAGUCUUAUCAUUUCUCAGAAAAUCCAAUGAUUCCUGAAGGCUUUCAAGUCCUACAAUAAUCUUGUCUCAGAGAAUCCAAUGAUUCCUGAGGGUUUUGAACAAUUUUCUAUGUUCAUGAGUCAAACGCCAUAACUGCCAUGCUCUUUCAAUGGUGAGUACAAUCAGCAACAGAACCACCCGAUAUUUCUUGGGUCUUCUCCUUCGUUUCAAGGGUCUACUCUGUCUCUCUGCGAUGGACAAGGCGAAUAUGGCUCAUUGGCACCCAUCUGAUUCCUUCUCCACCUGUAGAGAUACAAGCAAACCCUCUCCUCCAAACAGUUAGCCUAUCCGGUCCUUCCAUUCACCACUUUCUGGGUCUCUCCACAUCACCUGGCGAUUAUCUAAAGUUAGUGGAGCUGCUCGCACUGGACACUGCCCUUCUAGUGGGUUAUAAAACCUGUCUGCCGGAGCCGGCAGACUUUGUCAAAAAUCAAGAUGUUAAUAGUAUAAAGGGUUAGAUUUAGUAGUUCUCUAGAGUUAUCUUUGGCUCCCCCUUUCUUUUGUUUUUGGAGCAGCAUCUUAAUGUCUCUGGUUCUCCUCUCUACUAUUGCCUGACCUUGAGGAUUAAAGGGUAUGCCAGUGGUGUGUAAAAUCUUAUACUGUGCACAAAAGUGUGCAAAAUGUUUGGAAGUAUAUGCAGGUCCAUUAUCUGUUUUUAUUGCUUGUGGCACACCCAUAAUUGUGAAUACUUGGAUGAGGAAUUCAGUGACCACUCGGGCUGUCUCUUUUGCUGCUGGUAUUGCAAAAGUGAAUCCUGAAAAGAUGUCUACCACUACAUGGAUAAAAGACAGACGACCGAAAGAUUUAUAAUGGGUCACAUCCAUUUGCCAGAUUUCAUUGGGUCUCAAACCACGAGGGUUCUUCCCUGGAGGCAGUGUAGGAGCGUGGAAAGGAAGGCAAGCUGUACAGCUUUUUACUAUGCUCCUAGCUUCCUCUUUUGUAAUCCCAAAUUGUAAACACAAAGCUCGAGCAGCCUGAUGGUAUUUAAUGGGAUUCCUGGGCCUCCUGAAAUAAAGGUGUACUGGCUAACAUAGUUAAAAGGCUAUCUGCCUUUGAAUUCCCAUCAAAAAUAGGACCUGGAAGUCCACUAUGUGAGUGGACAUGCAAGAUAUAAAUCUUUCCUGAAUGCUUUCUCACUUGCUCUUGAAGUUCCUUAAAGAGCUGAUAUAUAUUAGGAGCUACAAAUUUUAUUUAGGCUGUGGCAAUUCUUUGUACCACACCUAUUGAAUAGGCUGAAUCAGAUAUUAUAUUUAUGUCUCCUGGGUAAUAAGUGAUAGUCUGCAAACCUCAUUAGCAUUUUCCUUAUCAAGUUGCCUUAUCAAAAUGUCUGUUAUUGCAUUUUUUCCAUUUGUUCUUGUGAUAGCUGUCUGCAAACGUCCCACAAAGUCAAAAAAAGCUUCAUUUGGCCCUUGUGUUAUUUUUGUGAAGCCCCCCCCCCUUGUCAUCUUUAUUGUGGAGAGAAGCCACGCUUUGAUAGCAUUAGCAGCAAUUUGCUCAUAUGCUGCUAUAGAAUAAUUAAUCUGUACUGCAACGUCUGCAUAAGGACCUACACCUGUUAGUAGAUCACAGGUGAUUGCAGCAUGAACUCCACUUUGACUAUUUUGUUGGGCUUGUAUCCUACAGAGUUCACUAUAUUCAGAAAGCCACAAGUAGUUUUGUCCAGGUUUUGUCCAAGGUUUGUCCUUGCUAUAGAUUUCCAGUCAUUAGGGGUCAAGAUUUCAAAAGCCAAAUUCUGUAAUAACAUCUUAACAUUAGCUGAUGUAGCCCCAUAAAGAGUGCAAGCCUUUUUCAGGUCUUUGAGGAUUUCUAUAUCAAAAGGAGCGUAUUUUCUACUUUCUUGACCUGAAGAAUUAAACUGUUGAAUUACAGGAAAAA
Antechinus flavipes (yellow-footed antechinus) is the source of this 2664-nucleotide long non-coding RNA. RefSeq lists it as uncharacterized. Lineage: Eukaryota; Metazoa; Chordata; Mammalia; Dasyuromorphia; Dasyuridae. The transcript has 2 exons. The record is from RefSeq and is a predicted model, not a curated record.